CAACUACGUGCCAGCAGCCGCGGUAAGACGUAGGGCGCAAGCGUUGUCCGGAUUUAUUGGGCGUAAAGAGCUCGUAGGCGGCUUGUCGCGUCGACUGUGAAAACCCGUGGCUCAACUGCGGGCUUGCAGUCGAUACGGGCAGGCUAGAGUUCGGUAGGGGAGACUGGAAUUCCUGGUGCAGCGGUGAAAUGCGCAGAUAUCAGGAGGAACACCGGUGGCGAAGGCGGGUCUCUGGGCCGAUACUGACGCUGAGGAGCGAAAGCGUGGGGAGCGAACAGGAUUAGAUACCCUGGUAGUCCACGCUGUAAACGUUGGGCGCUAGGUGUGGGGGGCCUCUCCGGUUCUCUGUGCCGCAGCUAACGCAUUAAGCGCCCCGCCUGGGGAGUACGGCCGCAAGGCUAAAACUCAAAGGAAUUGACGGGGGCCCGCACAAGCGGCGGAGCGUGCGGAUUAAUUCGAUGCAACGCGAAGAACCUUACCUGGGUUUGACAUCGCCGGAAAUCCUUCAGAGAUGGGGGGUCCUUCGGGGCCGGU
RNAcentral lists this ribosomal RNA (534 nucleotides) under uncultured Salinispora sp. RNAcentral's name for it is "bacterial SSU rRNA". It matches the Rfam family "Bacterial small subunit ribosomal RNA", at positions 498 to 1031 of the family's 1533-position model. Lineage: Bacteria; Bacillati; Actinomycetota; Actinomycetes; Micromonosporales; Micromonosporaceae. The record is from RNAcentral.